UAGGGAAUCUUCGGCAAUGGACGAAAGUCUGACCGAGCAACGCCGCGUGAGUGAAGAAGGUUUUCGGAUCGUAAAACUCUGUUGUUAGAGAAGAACAAGGACGUUAGUAACUGAACGUCCCCUGACGGUAUCUAACCAGAAAGCCACGGCUAACUACGUGCCAGCAGCCGCGGUAAUACGUAGGUGGCAAGCGUUGUCCGGAUUUAUUGGGCGUAAAGCGAGCGCAGGCGGUUUCUUAAGUCUGAUGUGAAAGCCCCGGCUCAACCGGGGAGGGUCAUUGGAAACUGGGAGACGUGAGUGCAGAAGAGGAGAGUGGAAUUCCAUGUGUAGCGGUGAAAUGCGUAGAUAUAUGGAGGAACACCAGUGGCGAAGGCGGCUCUCUGGUCUGUAACUGACGCUGAGGCUCGAAAGCGUGGGGAGCAAACAGG
RNAcentral lists this ribosomal RNA (428 nucleotides) under Gemmatimonadota bacterium. RNAcentral describes it as "Gemmatimonadetes bacterium partial 16S ribosomal RNA". It matches the Rfam family "Bacterial small subunit ribosomal RNA", at positions 355 to 776 of the family's 1533-position model. Lineage: Bacteria; Pseudomonadati; Gemmatimonadota. The record is from RNAcentral.